UGGGGUAUCGCCAAGCGGUAAGGCAUGGGACUUUGACUCCCACAUGCGUUGGUUCGAAUCCAGCUACCCCAGCCA
Molecule: transfer RNA, 75 nt
Filed under: Megamonas hypermegale
Lineage: Bacteria; Bacillati; Bacillota; Negativicutes; Selenomonadales; Selenomonadaceae
Also listed under: 1 other name
Description: tRNA-Gln(ttg)
Rfam family: tRNA
About the family: Transfer RNA (tRNA) molecules are approximately 80 nucleotides in length. Their secondary structure includes four short double-helical elements and three loops (D, anti-codon, and T loops).
Source: RNAcentral